GACGAACGCUGGCGGCGUGCUUAACACAUGCAAGUCGAACGGAAAGGCCCUGCUUUUGUGGGGUGCUCGAGUGGCGAACGGGUGAGUAACACGUGAGUAACCUGCCCUUGACUUUGGUAUAACUUCAGGAAACUGGGGCUAAUACCGUAUAGGAGCUCCUGCUGCAUGGUGGGGGUGGGAAAGUUUCGGCGGUUGGGGAUGGACUCGCGGCUUAUCAGCUUGUUGGUGGGGUAGUGGCUUACCAAGGCUUUGACGGGUAGCCGGCCUGAGAGGGUGACCGGCCACAUUGGGACUGAGAUACGGCCCAGACUCCUACGGGAGGCAGCAGUGGGGAAUAUUGCACAAUGGGCGGAAGCCUGAUGCAGCAACGCCGCGUGCGGGAUGACGGCCUUCGGGUUGUAACCCGCUUUCGCAUGUGACGAAGCGUGAGUGACGGUAAUGGGUAAAGAAGCACCGGCUAACUACGUG
RNAcentral lists this ribosomal RNA (468 nucleotides) under uncultured bacterium. Its description in RNAcentral is "partial 16S ribosomal RNA". It matches the Rfam family "Bacterial small subunit ribosomal RNA", at positions 28 to 507 of the family's 1533-position model. The record is from RNAcentral.